UAGAGUUUGAUCCUGGCUCAGGAUGAACGCUGGCGGUAUGCCUAAUACAUGCAAGUCGUACGAAAGUUUUUAACUUUAGUGGCGGACGGGUGAGUAACGCGUGAGAAUUUACCUUUAGGAGGGGGAUAACAACUGGAAACGGUUGCUAAUACCCCAUAUGCUUUCGAGUGAAAUAGAUUUAUCUGCCUGAAGAGAAGCUCGCGUCUGAUUAGCUUGUUGGUGGGGUAACGGCCUACCAAGGCGACGAUCAGUAUCUGGUUUGAGAGGAUGAUCAGACACACUGGAACUGAGACACGGUCCAGACUCCUACGGGAGGCAGCAGUAGGGAAUUUUCCGCAAUGGGCGAAAGCCUGACGGAGCAAUACCGCGUGAGGGAAGACUGCCUAUGGGUUGUAAACCUCUUUUUUCAGGGAGGAAUUUUGACGUGUACCUGAAGAAUAAGCAUCGGCUAACUCCGUGCCAGCAGCCGCGGUAAGACGGAGGAUGCAAGUGUUAUCCGGAAUCACUGGGCGUAAAGCGUCUGUAGGUGGUUGAACAAGUCAACUGUUAAAUCUUGAAGCUCAACUUCAAAAUCGCAGUCGAAACUGUUUGACUAGAGUAUAGUA
RNAcentral lists this ribosomal RNA (605 nucleotides) under uncultured bacterium. RNAcentral's name for it is "bacterial SSU rRNA". It matches the Rfam family "Bacterial small subunit ribosomal RNA", at positions 1 to 653 of the family's 1533-position model. The record is from RNAcentral.